UACGUAGGCGGAAAAUUAAGUCAGUAGUGAAAUCCUGCAGCUUAACUGUAGAACUGUUAUUGAUACUGGUUUUCUUGAACAUAGUUGAGGUAGGCGGAAUGUGUAAUGUAGCGGUGAAAUGCUUAGAUAUUACACAGAACACCGAUUGCGAAGGCAGCUUACUAAGCUAUGAUUGACGCUGAGGUACGAAAGCGUGGGGAGCGAACAGGAUUAGAUACCCUGGUAGUCC
This 229-nucleotide ribosomal RNA is filed under the name uncultured bacterium. Its description in RNAcentral is "partial 16S ribosomal RNA". It matches the Rfam family "Bacterial small subunit ribosomal RNA", at positions 568 to 796 of the family's 1533-position model. The record is from RNAcentral.